GAUGAACGCUGGCGGCGUGCCUAAUACAUGCAAGUCGAGCGGACGGACGAGAAGCUUGCUUCUCUGAUGUUAGCGGCGGGCGGGUGAGUAACACGUGGAUAACCUACCUAUAAGACUGGGAUAACUUCGGGAAACCGUAUCUAAUACCGGAUAAUAUUUUGAGCCGCAUGGUUCAAAAGUGAAAGACGGUCUUGCUGUCACUUAUAGAUGGAUCCGCGCUGCAUUAGCUAGUUGGUAAGGUAACGGCUUACCAAGGCGACGAUGCAUAGCCGACCUGAGAGGGUGAUCAGCCACACUGGAACUGAGACACGGUCCAGACUCCUACGGGAGGCAGCAGUAGGGAAUAUUCGGCAAUGGGCGAAAGCCUGAUGGAGCAACGCCGCGUGAGUGAUGAAGGUCUUCGGAUCGUAAAACUCUUUUAUUAGGGAAGAAGAUAUGUGAAUGAAACCCUGGCUAUCUUGACGGUACCUAAUCAGAAAGCCCCGGCUAACUACGUG
This 497-nucleotide ribosomal RNA is filed under the name uncultured bacterium. Its description in RNAcentral is "partial 16S ribosomal RNA". It matches the Rfam family "Bacterial small subunit ribosomal RNA", at positions 28 to 507 of the family's 1533-position model. The record is from RNAcentral.